This 473-nucleotide ribosomal RNA is filed under the name uncultured bacterium. RNAcentral's name for it is "bacterial SSU rRNA". It matches the Rfam family "Bacterial small subunit ribosomal RNA", at positions 28 to 507 of the family's 1533-position model. The record is from RNAcentral.
GACGAACGCUGGCGGCGCGCCUAACACAUGCAAGUCGAACGAGAGAUGAAGAGCUUGCUCUUCAAAUCGAGUGGCGAACGGGUGAGUAACGCGUGAGGAACCUGCCUCAAAGAGGGGGACAACAGUUGGAAACGACUGCUAAUACCGCAUAAGCCCACGGCUCGGCAUCGAGCAGAGGGAAAAGGAGCAAUCCGCUUUGAGAUGGCCUCGCGUCCGAUUAGCUAGUUGGUGAGGUAACGGCCCACCAAGGCGACGAUCGGUAGCCGGACUGAGAGGUUGAACGGCCACAUUGGGACUGAGACACGGCCCAGACUCCUACGGGAGGCAGCAGUGGGGAAUAUUGCACAAUGGGGGAAACCCUGAUGCAGCGACGCCGCGUGGAGGAAGAAGGGUCUUCGGGAUUUGGUAAAACUCCUGUUGUUGAGGAAGAUAAAUGACGGUACUCAACAAGGAAGUGAACGGCUAACUACGUG